This 355-nucleotide ribosomal RNA is filed under the name Pelobates cultripes (western spadefoot toad). It matches the Rfam family "Eukaryotic small subunit ribosomal RNA", at positions 63 to 427 of the family's 1831-position model. Lineage: Eukaryota; Metazoa; Chordata; Amphibia; Anura; Pelobatidae. The record is from RNAcentral.
GUGACCGUGGCAGUGGAGGAGGAAGCAGUGCUGGAGGAGGAGGAUGAGGUAGCCAACACGCGGUAUAUAUAUAUUUUAAUUGGGGUAGCCCCCAAAAUAUUGGGACAUAUAAAAAAAGACAACUCUGUUCCGCAGAGUAGCUAUUGACAUUAUAGUUGCGCAGGAACUUUGUUGACUCUAGAGAACCUCGGGCAAAUCGCACAUUCCCGUGGCGGCGACUUUGCAUGCGGAUGUCAUCCAUAUCAACUUUCGAUGCCAGUUUCUGCACCUACCAUGGUGACCACGGGUAAUGGGGAAUCAGGGUUCCAUUCCGUACAGGGACCCUGAGAAACGGCUACCACAUGCAAGGAAGGCA